Molecule: long non-coding RNA, 25970 nt
Filed under: Homo sapiens (human)
Lineage: Eukaryota; Metazoa; Chordata; Mammalia; Primates; Hominidae
Description: non-protein coding lnc-ZBTB2-7:1
Rfam family: Metazoan signal recognition particle RNA (bases 18399-18515)
Source: RNAcentral
CUUUGGUUUGGUAAGCUGUACCAGACAGAGGGUGGGGUGCGGAGUGGGACUCAGACUCUGCCCUGAGACUCAGCCUCCCUCCCUUCAGCCUGAAAGGCCGAGGUGACCCUUGGUACUCAGGGCGCCAAGUUUAGACGGGAGGGCUUGGAUUUGCUGUACUGGAGGUGGCCUGAGGAUAAGAGGCUUUGUAACCUUAGGCAGGGGCACUUAAUCUCGGUGAGCUUGCGGGGUCUUCGUCAGUACCACAGAGAUAACAAUGCUCUUCUUAAAACCUUAAAAGGAUUUUAUAGUCCUGAUUGGUUCCAGGGCCCCUCCAGGGGACCCACGUCCACAAAUGCUCAAGUCCUUGGUAAAAAAAAAAAAAAAAAAAAGUGUUUGCAUAUCACCUACACACAUCUUCCCAUCAUAAACUUUAGGUCAUCUCCACAUUCCCUAAGUCCUCACCUAACAUCGUGGAGGGGUUCUUGGAAACUGAAACUUUAAGCCAAAUGACUGUAAGGAAAACAGUUUGACCACAGGCUAAUUGAUAUGAGUGAAGUUCCUACAACAUAUCUGUGGUCACAAAAUCGCCCCUAAACUUCGAAAUAAAGACCAAAACACUUCUAAUAUUAAACAUUGAAAUAAGUGUGAGCCAUGCAUAUAUUUAAGGAAGAUUUUUAGCUCACGCCUAUAAUCCCAACACUUUGGGAGGCUGAGGUGGGCAGAUCACGUGAGGCCAGAAGUUCAAGACCAGCUUGGCCAACAUGGCGAAACCCCAUCUCUACUAAAAAUACAGAAAAUUGGCUGGGUGUGGUGGCGCGUGCCUGUAUUCUCAGCUACUCGGGAGGCUGAGGCAGGAGAAUCGCUUGAACCCAGGAGCCAGAGGUUGCAGUGAGCCGAGAUCAUGUCACUGUACUCUAGCCUGGGCGACAGAGCACAGCUCUGUCUCAAAGAAAAAGUUUUUUUUAAACACCCCCUAUCCCUCUCGCUUAGAGAAAAAUAAAGAUUAAUAAAAGUGAGAUCAUUUUUACCGGCUUAUUCCAACUCAGGGCACCUCACAGGGUGUGCUCACACACACCCACACUCACACUCGGAUCGUGUAGAUGCACCAAUUUACCUAAAGUGCACUGCACGGCUUUGGGAUGUGACAGGACACCAGAAGACAGAGAAAAUCCACACAGACAUGGAUAAAACGUGACAGUGGACCCAGCCAGAAAUCUAUUUUUUUCUCAUCAUUAUAAGAAAACCACUGAGCAAAAUGAUGAAAUGAUGUUAUUCCAGGACCUGCUGUACUUAUAAUACCUAAUACAAUGUAAAUGCUAUGUAAAUAGAUAUUACACUGUACUUUUUUAUUUCUAUGAUUUUUUAUUAUUUUUUGUUAUUGUAAUUUUUUCAAAUACUUUCAGUCCCAGGUUGAUUGAGGAUACAGAGGGCUGACCAUAAGUUCCAAGUAAAGUGGAUAUCAGAUUGUAAUUUUAUGAUUCCCAAGUGAGGGUCAGAUUGUUAACUUUAUAUUUUUACAACCUUAUACCCUUAUAAUUCCCAGAUAAGGUGGGAAUAAAACUAGUCCAAGUUACAGAGAUUGGUUUUCCAUUAGCCGAGCACCAUACUGGGACAGUGCUGGAAGGACCCUUCAUACAAUCCUAACAAAAGUAGGGAAUUGAGAGCUAUUGUCUUGACCUUCAACCUUUGGAAACUGGGGUCCAGAGAGGCCCAUCUGUUUACUGGCAGAGCUGGGAGAUUGAGGCUGCAAUGAGCUGUGAGCGUGUCACUGCACUCCAACCUGGGCAACAGAGUGAGACCCUGUCUCAAAAAAAAAAAAAAAAAAAAAAAAAGGCUUCCUGAAGAAAGUGAAAGAGGUGGCAGCUGGAGGCAAGACCUUAGCAGUUGAGCUAAGGGAAGGUCAGCUAAGGGAAGGAAAUGAGCUAAGGGAAGGUCAGUGUUGGAAAAGUGGGAAUGUUGGAAAUGAAGGAACAACAUGAGCAAAAGUCUGGAGUAGAAGAGAGCAUGAUGAAUUUGAGAUACUGAGAGCUGUUCAGUCGAGUGGGGAGGGCAGGGGAAAAUGAGUAGCAAUGGCAAGUAAGAAGAGCUGGGCAGGGCCACGUUGUGGCAGGUCACGAAACCAUUGCAUUGCAUUUUUUUUUUUUUUUUGAGAUGGAAUCUAGCUUUAUUGCCCAGGCUGGAGUGCAGUGGCGCAAUCUUGUCUCACUGCAGCCUCCACUCCCAGGUUCAAGCAAUUCUCCUGCCUCAGCCUCCCAAGUAGCAGGGAUUACAGCCAACCACCAUGCCUGGCUAAUUUUGUGUUUUUGGCAGAGACAGGGUUUCGCCAUCUUGGCCAAGCUGCUCUCAAAUUCCUGACCUCAGGUGAUUUGCCCUCCUCGGCCUCCUCCCAAAGUGUUGGGAUUACAGGAGUGAGCCUCUGCGCCCAGCCCAUUGCAUUGCAUUUUGAAAGCAGUGGAAAACAACUGAAGGAUUUAGAAUUAGGAGAGUGGCAAUCUCAGAUGUGUGUUGUAGAAGGAUCACAGCAGCGACAGCGUAGACAAUAGAAAGUGAAGGCAGCAGACAAAUCCGAAGACUGUUUCAGUAACAGGAGAAGAAACGAGAAGUUCCUGAGUAUAUCCUUGACCAAUGGAUUGGUGAAAAGUGGAUGGAUUCAUGAGAUAAGUAAGAGGAACCAUUGGUAGCCUUUAGGAUUUGAUUGAUUUAGAGGGUAUAUGGAAGGAAGUUGUCAAGGAUGAAGCCCCACUUUCUGGCUUGAAGUAUAGGUGGUGCUAUUCCUAGAGGAAGACCAGAGGAGAGAAGCAACAGGCUUAGCCCUAUCAAGAUUGGCAUGCCUAUGGGAUAUCAGAGUGGAGAUGUGGAGUAGGAUGUUGGAUCCAUGGAUGUAUAGCUCAGGAGAAAGUUCAAAAAUGGAGAUACAGAUUUGAUAACCAUGGUUAUGGGUAAGAUCACCGAGAGAGUGUAUAGAAGACAGGAGGACCUACAAUAGCACCAAAAAACACAAACAAGAAAGAAGCAGAGGAAGACAAUGCCACAAAAGAGACUACGGAGGGAAAAACAGUAGGAGAAAAAAUUAGAAAGUGGGCCGGGUGCGAUGGCUCACACCUGUAAUCCCAACACUUUGGGAGGCCAAGGUGGGGAGAUCACCUGAGGUCGGGAGUUCGAGACCAGCCUGACCAACAUGUGAAGGGGGCCUGCCCCUCCACACCUGUGGGUAUUUCUCGUCAGGUGGAGACGAGAGACUGAGAAAAGAAAUAAGACACAGAGACAAAGUACAGAGAAAGGACAGUGGGCCCAGGAGACCGGUGCUCAACAUGUGAGGACCUGCACCGGUGCUAGUCUCUGAGUUCCCUCAGUAUUUAUUGAUCACUAUUUUUACUAUCUUGGUGAGGGGAGUGUGGCAGGGCAACAGGGUGAUGUGGAGAAGGUCAGAGGGGAAACAUGUGAGCAAAGGAAUCUGUAUCAUGAAUAAGUCCAAGGAAAAGUACUGUGCCUGGAUGUGCAUGUAGGCUAGAUGUAUGUUUCCCUUUACACAAACAUCUCAGUGUAGCAAAGAGUAACAGAGCAGUAUUGCUGCCAGCAUAUCUUGCCUCCAGCCACAGGGUGGUUUUCUCCUAUCUCAUGAUCAGCUUUACCCUGAGACAUUUCAUUCCCAGGGACGUGCAGGAGACAGAAAACUUCCCCUUAUCUCAACCGCAAAGAGGCCUCCCUCUUUCACUACUCCUCAGCACAGACCCUUCAUGGGUGUCGGGCUGGGGGAUGUAAGGUCUUUCCUUUCCCAUGAGGCCAUAUCUCAGGCUGUCUCAGUGGGGGAAACCUUGGACAAUACCCAAGCUUUCUUGGGCAGAGGUCCCUGCGCCUUUCCGCAGUGCAUUGUGUCCCUGGUUAAUAGAGAAUGGAGAAUGGCGAUGACUUUUACCAGGCAUACUGCCUGCAAACACAUUGUUAACAAGGCACAGCCUGCACAGCCCUAAAUCCAUUAAACCUUGAUUUGAUACAGCACGUUUCUGCGAGCACAUGGUUGGGGCUAAAGUUACAGAUUAACAGCAUCUCAAAGCAGAACAAUAUUUCUUAGUACAGAUCAAAAUGGAAUUUCUUAUGUCUUCCUUUUCUGCAUAGACACAGUAACAAUCUGAUCUCUCUUUCUUUUCCCCACAUUCUCCCUUUUGUUUUUGACAAAACUGCCAUCGUCAUCAUGGCCCGUUCUUGAUGGUCGCUGUCUCUUCGGAGCUGCUGGGUACACCUGCAGACUAACAACAGACAGAACAGGCACACAAGGAUUAAUAUGAAAUUUAUAAUAAUGGAACUUCUGAUGGUUUUAACCCAAGUGACUGGGUUAAGAUUUGCGAGGCCAUCAGUAGCUUCCGUAAUUGCUUCAGUUCCUGGCACCAAAUUUAAAUGGGCUUUUGAUGCCUCAAAAAUUUGUUCUUUUAAUUUUGAAAUGUCUGAAGUAAGAUUAUCUUCUCUUCCUUGUAGAUGGCAUCUAACCAUGUCCCAGUGAGGCUCAGACUCAUUACAGGCUUGGGGUGUAAUACAAAAAUCUGACGUAUUCCAGUCACACUGUAACUGAAAAUGAUGUUCCAAGCUCACGAGCUUAUCUCCCAUCCAAAUGACAUUUUGUCUAAGAUCAUUAAUCUAAUUUGCCAAUUUUUGAUCAAUACCAGAUUGUGAAUUCCACAAUCUUGUAGAAUUUUUUUUGCCAAUUGUUAACAAAGUGUACCGUCUGAACAGAAGAGUGCAAUGCAACUCCUGCCACAGCGGCCAUAACUGUGACUGCACUUAAUCCCGUAGUCACCGCAAUCAAAGUAAAAAUGAAUCUUUUGGAUCUAUUUAGAACUCCUUUUAAUACUUCAGUUAAAAUAUGGAUGGAUGGCGAAGCCUCCUACAGUUGGUCCAUGGACACAGGGAUCCACAUGGCCUCUCUUGCUCUCACUGGUAGAAUACAGUGCUGCCAAUUAAAAGUUGAAUCAAUGCAAGUAAACAAUCUACAAUUUUCACAGGUUAUAGUUUGGGAAUCUGGGUUAAUAACUAUUUUUCCUACAACUAGCAUAUAAGGGGGCUUUACACAAAUUUGCAAAGGAAUUGUCAGACUGGAAUUUAGGUCGAUAGUAUAAGAUGGCUUACCAUCUCUUGUUUUUAUAGCUUAAUUUCCAGACCAAAUUCUAAUGUGGUGCGAGGCCACAGUAAGCUUCCAAAGUUCCGGACGCUUAGGACCAGUAACAGGACUAACUAACUUUGGUCGAGGUGAUGAGAUUCCCUUUUCACCCCAUUCCCAAGGGUAUAGAGACUCUAACCUUUUAUACUUAUUUUUAUCUAAACCUUCUGUUAAGUCACUGUCCACAGUUGGACUCACAUGUGCACUGGGACACGAUUGAGUUUGUCCUGUGCAAUUGCAGUAGAAUUGACCUCGAGGUGCCCAAUCUAUAAUGGUUCCGAAUUCAUUGUUUUGUAAUAUCACCGUCCUAUCAGCCACACAUUCUUCUCAAACUAAAACUUCUGGGCCUUUUGAUCCUUUGGGAAUUUCUUUGGGGCAAGGCUUCCCCUUAGGCCUAGAUUUUAAUCAUCUUUGAUAAGAAGGGUCCUGCAAAUAAUUUACCUGUGGCCUGAGUGACAUUCCACUUACCCUGUGAUAAGUAAAUCCACUGGUGGCACUGACAGUAGGUACUUCUACCAACCAAUUUUGGGUUGUAGGCAUUAAGCAUCCUGGUGCCCUCCCCAGGCAAAUAGGAGGAUAACAAUACCCAGUGGAAAUAAUCAUCAUCAUUCCUUCUUCCUUGGGUUGGGCAGGGCAACGAUCAUCCGUGGGGCCAGGUACCCAUGCACUAUUAUUAACAUAUACUUCAAUAGAAUUAUCCACCCAUGUAACUGCCCGAAUUAAGGGCAGGAAAGGCACAUAGGCCCAGUAAGCAUAAUUAGCUGCAGCUGCUCCUGCAGACAUGGGAAGACUUAUCACCGUUGAUACAAUCAUCAAAGCUGCAAGCAGCAUAUUCUCUGGAGUUUGUGUCACCUUUGUGAAUGUACUUAAUGCCACUGAACUGUAUAUUUAAAAAUGGUUAAGAUGGUAAAUUUUAUGUGCAUUUUACCACCAUCUUAAAAGUCAAGAAGGAGGUGAAGAAACAGCUCAAAUUGGUGAUCUAAGUUUGCUAGAGUCAAUUACUAUCAUUUACAACAAAGCACUCUGUUGUGUACAGUGGUUAAAGUGAAUGCAGGUGAAGGUCACUGGCCAUGAGCAAGUCAAGAAAAUAAAGGGCUGGAUGUUGAGAAGGUCAUCCAUCGAAAUAUCCAUCAAAUAGGGAUUUUCUAGAUAUUUUCAAGGUGGUGGUAGUAUAUAGGGGUGGAGAGUAUAGGAUGAUAAGGAGACUGAUUCUGAGGUGUGGGCUCACCUUCACUGAAUGAGGCCAAUUGGUAAGAAGGUCAAUGGAUGAUAGGAGUCAGGUGACACAAAGAUUUGCAUUCCAGGCUGGGCACAGUGGCUCAUGCCUGUAAUCCCAGCACUUUGGGAGGCUGAGGAGGGCGAAUCACCUGAGGUCAGAAGUUAGAAACCAGCCUGACCAACAUGGUGGAACACCGUCUCUACUAACAAUUCAAAAAUUAGCUGGGCAUCGUGGCAUCUGCCUGUAAUCCCAGCUACUGGGGAGACUGAGGCAGGAGAUUCACUUGAACCUGGGAGACAGAGGUUGCAGUGAGUCGAGAUUGCGCCAUUGCACUCCAGCCUGGACAACAAGAGCGAAACUCCAUCUAAAAAAAAAAAAAAAAAAUUGCAUUCCAAAUAGCCACCAUGCAAUAGUUCAUUCAUUCAUGAGGGCAGAGAAGGAAUGGUCUCCAGCCACAGCAUGGAUCCAUGAAGCACUGACUCCACCUCUCGAACUUGAGGUGUUGGAUUGUGGGAGAAUGAAUAGCCUUCCUUUAAGAGAUCCCCAGGAGAAACAUCCUUAAGGAAGAGCUAAGUGUUAGUUUAAAAAAGAAAUGAAUUGGCCGGGCGCGGUGGCUCACGCCUGUAACCCCAGUACUUUGGGAGGCCGAGGUGGGCGGAUCACAAGGUCAGACUGAGAUCAUCCUGGCCAACGUGGUGAAACCUCGUCUCUACUAAAAAUACAAAAAUUAGCUGGGCGUGGUGGCACGAGCCUGUAAUCCCAGCUACUCGGGAGGCUGAGGCAGGAGAAUUGCUUGAACCAGGGAGUUGGAGGUUGCAGUCAGCCAAGAUCACACCACUGAAUUCCAGCCUGGCGACAGCGAAACUCCAUCUCAAAAAAAAAAAAAAAAAGAAUGGAGGGAACUGCUUCCAUUAAAAUAUAGGGAAUGUAGAGGAGUUCAACAUGGAACUUAAAGUGACCCAGAGCACGCAGACAGAAGAUGUGGGAAGAACAGCAGCAGUGAGAAGGUGGGUCAGGAGGGAGACUAACCAGGAAGGAUGGUCAGAGGAGCAGCAACCCGGGGUAACAGCUUGAAGCCUGGUGGUUUAUGUGGCUCCCAAAAUGCCAAAGAGACAGACCCAGCAAAUACUGGAAGGCUACAAAUGUAGACAGGACACUUGGAUAAAACAAGGGUCAACACAGUUUGCACUUCUAUGGGAGUUUGUUCCAUGAAAGGGCUGUAUUUACACAGCAACCCCCAAAUGCAGAAGGAGCCUGGAAACCAAAGGAGGCAGAGAAAUCCAAUGUGUGGUUCUGGGUGAUUUAUUAGGGAAAUUUACAAACAGAAACGUGGUCUUGGGCGGCUACAAGAUAGGUAGAUCUCUGCACCACAACCCCCUAGACCCAGGGCUUAUAUCUUGGGGAAAAAUAUACGUGUUCUAGAAGGAAUGUGUAGGUGGCUACCAGCGUCACAGCCUAUGAUUUCUGCAACAGCAACGAGGGUUGUUUUGAAGGAAACUUACAGUAAAUGGGUGUUUCUACAUAAAUAAUAAUACAUCAACUCAACAUUUUGGAGGCAUUCCCAGACUUGGGAUUAGUCAGUGGAUUGGUAUUUAAAGUAAAUUCACUCUUGUCCCCACCAAGAGUUUUCCUCUUCAAUGAAUGAGGAGGCUUUGUGUAGAAAGCAAAAGUUCCUCUUCAAAUCCCUUUAAAUCAUAAAUGUUAUUGAUAUCUUUUCUCAAAACUAACUUUAAGUUUCUUAUUUUAUAGUAAUAACUCUCUGUUAAGCCUUAUGUAGCAAAGGUAACAGAAUAAGCAUACUCUGACUUCAGUAUCUGUUAAACAUGCUCACAGGCAUGUAGUACAUUCUAUGUCCUUGUACCUUAGUCAGAAUAUUCGUGCUGGACAUGCCCAGGCAUGUCCCAGCUUGCAGCCUACCCUCCUCCCUUAUUUGGGAAUAUUAUUACUUUUCUAAGUCCUUUCAUAAGCAACUUCCUUUUUUUCCUUUGUUCCUCACUGCCUUUACCUAUUUUAAAAAGUUUUGAACUGUUAGCCAAUCGGGUUUUAGUUUAGAUUGUGAGGUCUGGCUCCAGCCAAUGGAGUCAGGACACAGCAAUAGGGACCUCAUGUGUAAGGCAAAACUAUUCUAGUAUCUUUUUUACUUUGUGGGUACUCCUGGCAGGAUUGCUGACAGGCACCACCCUUUCUGCAAAGAGUAAAAAGAGUUUCCUGUUGAGGAAACAUUUUGUCUAAUUGCGGAUUCUUCUCUGUAACAUCGGGGAAUAAGCAUUUACUUCCAACACUUUGGUCUUCCAGGAAGGACUACCUGAGCCAUGAGUGGUUUGCUGGGCUUGGGGAGAAGCUCUGGUUUGAUGCAGCUUUUUCCAAAGCUCCCAGGGAGUGCAGUCUGGGCCUGAUCUGUGAUUGUUUAGGCUGGAAAGCAUGGCCCUGGAAGGUGCAAGCCUGGUCGAUAGGAGUAUGGGUAGCAUACGCACCAACAAUGCUCUGCAAAAUCUGUCUUAUUAUUAAUAUCAACCAGCGUAUGGCACUGCAGGUGAGGCAUGCAUGGAGACAUUUUGUAUCCGGAAUUGGUUCCUUCCAGUGGGUUCUUGGUCUCACUGACUUCAAGAAUGAAGCUGUGGACCCUCGCGGUGAGUGUUAAAGUUCUUAAAGAUGGUGUGUCCGGAGUUUGUUCCUUCAGAUGUUCAGAUGUGUCCAGAAUUUCUUCCUUCUGGUGGGUUCGUGGUCUCGCUGAUUUCAGGAGUGAAGCCACAGACCUUCGCAGUGAGUGUUACAGUUCAUAAAGGCGGCGCGUCCGGAGUUGUUCAUUCCUCCCGGUGGGUUCAUGGUCUCGCUGGCUUCAGGAGUGAAGCUGCAGAUCUUCGUGGUGAGUGUUACACCUCAUAAAGGCAGCGCAUCCAGAGUUGUUCAUUCCUCCCGGUGAGUUUGUGGUCUCAUUGGCUUCACGAGUGAAGCUGCAGACCUUCGUGGUGAGUGUUACAGCUGAUAAAGGCAGUGCGGACCCAAAGAGUGAGCAGCAGCAAGAUUUAUUGUGAAGAGCAAAAGAACAAAGCUUCCACUGUGUGGAGGGGACCCAAGUGGGUUGCUGCUGGUGGUGCAGGUGGCCUGCUUUUAUUCCCUUAUUUGGCCCCACCUGCAUCCUACUGAGUGAUCCAUUUUGCAGAGAGCUGAUUGGUCCAUUUUACAGAGUGCUGAUUGGUCCAUUUUUAUAGAGUGCUGAUUGGUGCAUUUACAAACCUUUAGCUAGACACAGAGCACUGACUGGUGCAUUUACAAUCCUUUAGCUAGACAGAAAAGUUCUCCAAGUCCCCACCCAACCCAGAAGCCCAGCUGGCUUCACCUCUCAAUUUCCCCUCUAAACAGGACACCCCAACUGCUGUUUGGAAUUUGGCCAAUGACUGCUCUAGCUACUUCCUGCUGGAUAGGGGUGAAGCAGGGGCCCUGCAGUUGUGGUGUCCUCCAGAGGGAAACUCUUUAGGCCAGUGGAAGGGCCAGCGGGUCGGUCCAGGGGUCCUCAGUAGAAGUUGUUAGUUGAACUCAUUCGGAGUUCCAUUUGUAAGACCAUCUGUAGCUUGAUUGCCUUGAUUUUAGAGGAAACAAAUUUGACAAGAAGGUUAAAAAUACAGGGCCCAAAGGCGAGUAACAGCAAGAUGGCUGCCACGGGACCUAGAAAGGGGAGAAGCCAUGUUGCCCAACUCCGGAGGUUGGUAUAAGAGUUUGAAAGGCGUUGUCUGAUUUCAGAAGCCUUUUCCUGUAAAUGCCGGGCGGCAUUUAGUACUAUCCCUGACUGGUUAGGGUAAAAACAACACUCUUCCCCUAAGAAGGUGCAGACUCCUCCUUUCUCAGCCGUGAGGAGGUCUAGGCCUCAGCGCUUUUGGAGAGUCACUGCUGCCAAAGAGUCUAUUUGGGAUUGUAGAGUAAGGAUAGAUUUCGUGAUUUCUUGCAAACUGUCUGAGAAAUCCUUUGAGAAUGUGUGGUAGUAGGAUAAUGAAGUAGAUAAACUGGCUAUUCCAGUUCCUGUAGCAGUAGCCAUUCCUGACCCUAUAAGUAGGGGUAUUAGUUGUAUGGCUUUGCGCUGACGGACUUGAGCUUUGAGGGGUACUGAUAAGGUCUGACUUCCCGGGGCAAUAUUAAUGUUGGGACUUAGAAAGACUAAGGUGCAGGUGCCUGUCCAGUUAGUGGGGAGGCAGAUAUAGGUCGACAUUCCACAUAAGAAGAGUAUACCUUAGCUGGGUAGACAGAACUGGUUGUGUAUGUUAAAAAGAUGUGUGAAUUUGUUGUUUUCAUUUUCCCAUACUCCUAGAGUACUUGCCAAGGUAGCUCCAGUGAGCGGCUGGAAAGGGGUGUUGGGAGCAAACUGAGUGGCUCCCUGUGUUCUAUUUUCCCAUUGGAGAAAAAAACAUUUUAUAUCUACUAGGAACCACUCGAGAGAGUGAUUGAAAGAGGGGAUGAGAAGGCAUUCACUAGUGGUGGGGGCGCUGCUGCAGGGGGUGCAGGGGUGAAUGGUCAUGCAGGGAGUAUGUUUGCCAUUACAAACCCUGGACUAUUUGUUAAGCAGGGAGGAGGUGAUGAUUUUUGGGGGCCCCAAGAAGCAGACAAGCCAUCUAAAUGGAGCUGUUUGGGUGACUCAGAAGUUACUAUGAUCAGUUGGGGCUUGAAGUUGUAGCGUGUAAUUACACUGAUGGGGUAGUAAGUGCCCCAGGGGCAGGCCUGAUAACAGGUUGCGUUGGAUGCAUAAAGGGGCUUGGAAAGUUAAGAUAGUAUUUGUAGUUACAGGGCCGUGUAUGGGCUUUUCAUUGCUUGUGUAAUAGGUGAGGUUGGAAAUGUAAGAACGUAAAAGUUGGAUUGCACAUCCUGUUAGGGUAUUCUUGUUCCUAUCAGAGAUGGGGAAGUUGGCUAAUGAUUGCAUAUUUAAAAGUCAGAAAGGGUCUUUUCCUUCAUAACGAGGGUGGUAGGUUAAUUUGGUAAAGACCCAGUUUUUUGCAGGAAUGGGAGUGGCAGUGUAAGCAGAGGUUGAUAGAGAGAUACAAAGCCAACAGUCAUUUGCCAGGGAAGGAUUGGACUGGUUUAACAGAGAGUAGGUUAAGUUGAGAGACUUGUAGAGGUAAUUAGGAGCUAGUGGAAGGGGAGGGGCAAUUGUAUGAGGUAUCCAAGGAAGCAGGAGGGAUAGAUAGGCAAAGAGUAAAUAGGAAGGUAAAGAGGGUGCUCUGGAAGACGAGACCAUUUUAUCCAGUCUGAGUUAAAGGCAGGAGUAAAUUGCUGUCAGAAGGAAGGAAGAUAGAAGGUUGAUGUGAUUAGGAUUUUUCUCCCAGCAGGAGCUACAGUAUACAGUCCUAUCGCAAAGAGUAUGGUUAGUAUGCUGCUUAAUAAUAUGAUGAAAUAGUAAAAGGAUUCCAUUAAAGGGGCAAGGAGAGGUGUUAAAGAUUAUGUAGGUUUUCACUUAUCUUUUUUAAGGAGAAAGGGAUUUUUCUUCAGGAUCAGCGGUAGGAGCCUUUUUAGUCUGGGAUGUUUCCUUCCGAAAUAGGAGAUGCAAGUCCUCCAAUGGUUCGCAGGUGUAUCGAGGCUGGUCUGGCUUGAGACUCCUGAGCUGACAGUCCUGCAGGUUCCUCAGGGGAUGUCCAAAAUGUAACUCGGGUGUGGUGAAUCCAAGAUUCCACUCCUGCCACCUUAACUGCAGUGGGGUUAGAGAGGAUUACCGAGUAUGGUCCUUCCCACAAAGAGUUCAUAGAUGGGGAGGUAGAGGGGUGAGAUUUGACCAACACUAGAUCUCCUAGUUGAAACAACUCUGUUCCCUUUUCUCUGUGACAUCCUUCAGGUAGGUUUUUAAGGUUUUGUUGAUAUUUUGCCAAAUAAGUUGUAUCUUUGACCAAGUUGGCCAUUUCCUGAUCAAGUAGGAGGUCAUUUGUGAGAAAAGGUCGUCCCUACAGCAUUUCAUGUGGAUUAAGCCCCAUUUUGUGAGGAGAAUUUUGGAUUCUCAACAAGGCCAUGGGCAAAAGAGUAGGCCAUGGGAGAUGAGUUUCUUGUAUUAGUUUCCUUAAGUGCCUCUUGAGUGUUUCAUUUGCCUUCUUGACCUUCCCUGAGGAUUGUGGCCUCCAGGUGCAGUGAAGAUGCUGUUGUAUCACUAGUGCCCUGGAAACUCCCUGAGUUAUCAUGUCUUUAAAAGUCAGACCAUUGUCACUCUGUAAGCUUUGGGGAAGCCCAAAUCUAGGAAUUAUUUCAUGAAUUAGAACUUUAAUCACUUCCUGAGCCUUCUCUGUCUUGCGGGGGAAAGCUUCUAUCCAAUUUGUAAAGAUAUCAACACAGACCAACAAGUAUUGAAAUCCCUUUGACUUAGGCAUAUGGGUGAAGUCUAACUGUCAGUCCUCUCCGGGAUAGUGACCUAUUCUUUGUGCCCCCACAGGGGCCUUAUGAUGGACCAAGAGAUUAUUCCUUUGGCAUACCUCACAGGCUUUGACUACCUGUCACAUGGUCUGGAGGAGAUUUGGCCCUGUAAAUAGGGAUUUGGCCAUUUGAUGAGUGUUUUCAAUACCCAUAUGAACAGUUUGGUGGAGAGUUUUAAGUAUUUUCCACUGGCUUGCUUUGGGAAUAAGUACCUUUCCUUCUUCUGUCGUUAACCACCCUGAGGGGAGAAAACUAUGUCCCCGUGAAAGUCCCCAUUCUGUUUCAAUCGGGGAAUACUGGGGCUUAAUCUCCUGGAGGGGGUUGUUCCAUACCAAGGGUCCUUCCAUAGGUAUUUCUAAUGGGAGAUUCCACCUGGCAGCAAUUUUGGCCUCAGUAUCUGCCCAGUGGUUUCCUUCUGCCUUUUCUCCUUCACCUUUCUGAUGGCUUUGGCAGUGUAAGACUGCCACCUCCUUGGGUUUUUGCACUGUGUGCAAUAACUCCAUAAUUUCCAUGUGGUAUUUAAUGCGGGUCCCCCAGAGGUUAGAAGCUCCCUUUCUUCCCAUAUUGCAGCAUGGGCAUGUAGGAUUAGAUAAGCAUACUUGCUAUCUGUAUACACAUUUAUUCUUUUUCCCUUUCCCAGUUCUAAGGCUCGGGUAAGUGCCACUAGUUCUGCUAAAUGGGCGCUGGUCCCUGAGGGAAGAGGCUUACUUUCAAGUACAGCUACAUCACUAACUAUGGCAUAACCUGCCCUUCGUAUCCCGUUCUCCACAAAUGAACUUCCAUGGGUAUAUAGGUUAAGGUCAGGAUUAGCUAAGGGGACCUCUAAGAGACCAUCUUGGGCAGCAUAAGUUGGACUAUAAUUUGUCGGCAGUCAUGCAUGAUUGGUUCCCCAUCCUCUGGGAGAAAAGUGGCAGGGUUCAGGGCCAUGCACGUACGUAUUUGAAGCACCGGUCCCUCAAAGAGUAGUGCCUGGUAUCUAAGUAGGCGGUUGUCUGAUAACCAUAAACUUCCUUUGGCACCUAGUAUGCCAUUUACAUCAUGAGUAGUCCAGACAGUGAGAUCCUUUCCUUGUAUUAUUUUGAUAGCCUCUGACACUAAGACAGCCACCGCUGCAACUACCCUUAAACAGUGAGGCCAGCCUUUUGCUACUACAUCAGUUUCCUUACGUAGGUAUGCCACUGGUUGUGGGGUUGUCCCACGAGUCUGAAUAAGGACUCCAAGAGCUAUCCCUGCUCUCUCUGUGACAUAUAAAGAGAAGUUUUGUCCUGUGGGAAGGCUUAAAGCUGGAGCUUGUACUAGGGCCUUUUAAGGUUUUGAAGGCUGUUUCUCCCCCUGGUUCCCAUUCUACUAGAUGAGUAUUUGCCCUCUGGGUCUCCUUGAUUAGAGUAUAUAGGGGCCUGACUAUCUCACUGUAUCCGGGGAUCCAUAGUUGGCAAAAGCCAGUAAUUCUAAGGAACCCCCACAACUGUUUUAAUGUCUUAGGGUGAGGAUGAGCCAGUAUGGGCUGUAUUCGUUCCUUGCUGAGGUCCCUGGUCCCUCUGGCUAAGAUUAGGCCUAGAUAUUUGACCUGUUGUAGGCAAAGCUGGGCCUUUGACCUAGACACCUUGUACCCUUGAUUAGCUAGAAAGUUCAAGAGAUCUACAGUGGCCUGCUGGCACGAGGCUUCUGAACUGGUAGCCAAAAGUAAAUCAUCCAGAUACUGAAGGAACAGAGUGCCUGGACUUGAGACAUGGCCUAGAUCUUGGGCCAGUGCCUGACCAAACAGAUGAGGGCUAUCCCUAAAACCUUGGGGCAAGACCGUCCACGUAAGUUGGGACAUGUGGUCUGUGGGAUCCUCAAAGGCAAAGAGAAACUGGGAGUCAGAGUGCAGGGGAAUACAGAAGGCAUCCUUGAGGUCCAGAACAGUGAACCAUUCUGCUUCCUCUGGUAUUUGAGAGAGCAGGGUAUAGGGUUUGGGUACAACUGGAUAUAGAUGAAUUACUGCCUCAUUGAUGAGUCUAAGAUCUUGCACUAGUCUCCACUGACCGUUUGGUUUUUGUACUCCUAGAAUUGGGGUGUUGCAGGGACUGCUGCAUUUCCUAAGCCUUGAGCUUUUAAAUGUUUAACAAUAUCCUGUAAUCCUUUAUGAGCUUCAGGCCUUAAGGGAUAUUGCCUUUGAUAAGGAAAAGUGAUGGGGUCUUUUAGCCUGAUUUGGACUGCGCAGGCAUUUUUUGCUCUGAGGGAGGGAAGUGAUCUCUAGAGUUGGAAGAGUGAUGCCUUUUGUCCUCACUUAUAUGAAUAGGAAGGAUACAAUUUCUGAGGCUCCCCAUAUCCUAGCUUCAGGAAUAGCUUUUGUUAGGCCCACUUGUCUGAGGAGGUAUCCUAAAAUUCCAGAUAGUAUCCCCUACGAUGGGGCUUUGGGAAAAAUUAUGUUUUUCUGAUUGGUGAGCCCAGGUGCCGAAAGAAGGUAACAGAGUCCUGGAGUUUGAACUAGAAAUCAUUCUUAUAGGAGAAACUAGAAAAGCACCAGAGACAGGGAGUGGUUUUUAGAAGCGGGACUAGCCUCGGAGAAGAGAGGUGAGAGGGAGUUUGUCUGGCAGGCAUUAGGACCCAGGAGGCAAGGGUCAAGGUAGAUAGAAUAGAUGAGAGAGUCUGGCUUGGGCAACAUGACUUUGAGAGUUCCGCUCAUGGCUGCAGGGUCAACCAACUUGUUCUCAGGACCUCGGAGCUGAAUGGCUUUCCUCUCUGUCAACCCUCAGCUCAGCCCGGAAGUACAGGAAAAGUGGCAAACCAAUGCUCCCAACUCCAAAGAGUGGGGGCUUGUUAGAGAGCCCUUUCCCAGAAAUCCUGACAUCCAUGUCUUUAGUCUGGUGGCCAUGCUAGUUGCUUUUAACUGGCCGACAGGUGCCUGAUAUUUAGCCCUCAAAUGCUAAGGAAAAAUAGGACAGAAUAGCAAGCAAAAGGGGUCCGAUGGUACUCACUGCUUGGCAAUAGUCAAUGGUCCCUUCGUGGUCACCAAAAUGUGUCCAGAAUUGAUUCCUUCCGGUGGGUUCUUGGUCUCGCUGACUUCAAGAAUGAAGCCGUGGACCCUUGCGGUGAGUGUUAAAGUUCUUAAAGAUGGUGUGUCCAGAGUUUGUUCCUUCAGAUGUUCAGAUGUGUCCAGAGUUUCUUCCUCCCGGUGGGUUCGUGGUCUUGCUGACUUCAGGAGUGAAGCUGCAGACCUUCGCAGUGAGUGUUACAGUUCAUAAAGGCGGCGCAUCCGGAGUUGUUCGUUCCUCCCGGUGGGUUCGUGGUCUCGCUGGCUUCAGGAGUGAAGCUGCAGACCUUCGCAGUGAGUGUUACAGUUCAUAAAGGCGGCGCAUCCGGAGUUGUUCGUUCCUCCCGGUGGGUUUGUGGUCUCGCUGGCUUCAGGAGUGAAGCUGCAGACCUUCGUGGUGAGUGUUACAGCUCAUAAAGGCAGUGCGGACCCAAAGAGUGAGCAGCAGCAAGAUUUAUUGUGAAGAGUGAAAGAACAAAGCUUCCACAGCAUGGAAGGGGACCCAAGCGGGUUGCCGCUGCUGGCUCAGGUGGCCUGAUUUUAUUCCCUUAUUUGGCCCCACCACAUCCUGCUGAUUGGUCCAUUUUACAGAGUGCUGAUUGGUGCGUUUACAAACCUUUAGCUAGACACAGAGCACUGAUUAGUGCAUUUACAAUCCUUUAGCUAGACAGAAAAGUUCUCCAAGUCCCCACCCGACCCAGAAGACUAGCCAGAUUCACCUCUCAAUUUGAUACAUAAAUCUUUAACUGCCGUUGAAUUUAUUCUCUUAGAAUAAAUUUCCGGAAGUCUAAUUAAUGGCUCAAAGAGGAUGAAUUUUUAAUGUUACUGAUUCAUAUUGCUAAAUUCAUUUAUAAUAUUCUAUACCAAUGUGUAUUCUGAUUCAUUUGGGAUUAACAGUCUUUCUCCAUCCUUAAUCAUACUGGAUAAAAAUUAAAAAAAACUUGUAUGUCACAAAAUUAGCAUGGUUUUGAGACCAUUCUUUAGGGGUCUCAUGAUUUUGUAUUUCUUCAUGUCUUGUAUUAUUCUCUUACCCCAGACUAUCAAUUCAAGGACAUUUUUAGAGCAUACAGCCUUGGAAGAUAGAAAUAGUAUCUCCCCUUAGGGCAGAAGGCAGAUUUGUUUGCCUCCACAGAAUAAAGAUAAUGUCUCCCUCCAGGGGCAAAGGUUGGGCAGAUUUGCUAGUAGCUUCUUUUAAGUUUGGGGAUUUCUGAGCCCAGGGCUCCUCUGCUGUGGAAUGAACCACUGUGUGUACAACAACCCCCUGGGCUGCUCUGAGACUAGCGGGGUGAGGGGAAGCAAUGGAAAUGUAAAGCUCAUGCUACCGGCUGUGCUGUAAUCAUGUCCUUCCUCUCUUACCCAGGAGUCUUGUGUCUUCUGCCAGUAUUGAUGAAACUGAGGCAGGUUACCUUGUUAGCUUGCAAGCUGGGUAAAAUCUCACAGUUCUUGGCAAUCGUUUCUGAGCUGGGUUUUGAGGACUUAGCGGGUUUCCCUUUGGAUAGUAGGGGAAGGGUAUUGCAGGCAGAGGGAGCAGCUCUUCCUCAUAUAAAGGCAGAGACAGAUUAUGGGGGGCUUUGUGGAGGAUUUUUUUUUUCUUUGAGAUGGAGUCUCGCUUUGUUGCCCAAGCUGGAGUGCACUGGCAUGAUCUUGGCUCACUGCAACCUCCGCCUCCUGGGUUCAAGAGAUUCUUCUGCCUCAGCGUCCCGAGUAGCUGGGAUUACCGGCUUGCCCACUAAACCUGGCUAAUUUUUGUAUUUUUAGUAGAGAUGGGUUUUCACCACUUUGGCCAGGCUGGUCUCGAACUCCUGACCUUAAGUGAUCUGCCUGCCUCUGUCCCCUAAAGUGCUGGAAUUACAGGUGUGAACCACCGCACUCGGCCCUGGAGGAUUUUAUUCUGUGUUUAAAACACAGAAUAAAAGACAGGAAGUGGGGAAGACAGUGGCAGGACAACUAGUUAGGACGCUGUUAUAGUAGUCCAACAAAAAGACUGCAAACUAGAGGAGGAGCUUCUGAGGAAGAAAGGAGUCGUACAUGGGGAAAAAUGACAUUGGCUCUGGACAACUCAGAGAUGUCCUGCAGGAAAAAUCUUGCACUGAAGAGGGGAGUUUGACCCUAGAGAUGGUGUUUUGGGAAACAGAGUAUAUAUAGUAGUGAAUUCAGGUGAAUUCAUAUUAAAGGAGAAUGGAGUGGAGAUGAUUUGGUAUCACAGACCUGAAGCCUCUGGAGGCUUCUAGAGGAUGGGUAGAUAAUACAGUAUUAACUAGGGAAGUGGACCAGGUAUAAAACUUCCCCCAAAGCAGCUAUACGUUCUAGAGAUCUUUGUGACGUAUGUUUAUUUUAUCUUAAAAGGAGAGAUUUCUUAUUUUCUACCUAAAGCAUCUGUAUUUCAAGUGUACCACGGUUGCUUUAAAUUUGUUGACGAAGUCCAUAAUGAAGGAUAAAGGAACCAUUUCCCCCAAAGGUCAAAGCAAGUGUCCACCUUUUAGGGUGACUUUCACCUUUAGAUCCCCUCCUUAGAUCUCAUAGCAUUGGCCUCACCAGAAUCCAGGUCCACACAGACCACAUCUUUUUUUUUUUUUUUUUUUUUUUUUUUUAAGAGGUGGAAAUUUGGAUUUUAUGCUUAAGCCUUUCUAAAAUUGUAAAAGCCGAGGGCCGGGUGUGGUGGCUCACGCCUGUAAUCCCAGCACUUUGGGAGGCUGAGGUGGGUGGAUCACUUGAGCCCAGGAGUUUGAGACCAGCCUGGGCAACAUGGUGAAACCCUGUCUCUACUAAAAAUACAAAAAUUAGCCAGGUGUGAUGGCACGUGCCUGUAGUCCCAGCUACUUGGGAGGCUGAGGCAAGAGAAUUGCUCAAGCCCGGAACGUGGAGGUUGCAGUGAGCUGAUAUCACGCCACUGCACUCUAGCCUGGGCAACAGUGCGAGACUGUCUCCAAAUAGAUAAAUAAAUAAAUAAAAUUGCACAAGCCAGAUUGAGCCCCUGGGCCAGCAGUUUGCAGCCUCUGACUUAACUGUGGUUUAGUAGCAGGAAUCUGCUUACCCUGUGGUCUUGAUGGUUCCAUGAGAACUAUGUGGAGAGGCAUACAUUGCUAUGUAAACAGGAGGGCAAAUUGGGGGCUUAUAUUUGCCCGUUAGAACAGAUGAUUUGAUCACCAUCCAAGCCCUGUUGUUUUAUAUUGAGCUUGAUAAACAUGGUUUUGGAACCAAUGAGGUGGAACUGCCUGCUUGUCUUUCUUUCCUAUUGUACGAUGCAUGUGAAUAAGCCAUUGUCAGGAAAAUAAGACUCUUGUUUUUCACAGAUACAUAAGGUGGACUUUGAUCCACAGAUGUGUACCAAAAUUGUAAAGUGGGCAAGUGUGUUUUUUGGCACCCCAAAUCGAGGCAUUCUGGGCCUUUUCCUUCCACCUUAUUUGACUUCAACCCCACAUCUACAUGCUAGGGUGCUCUAUGAUCUCAUCACAUCAAAAGGCGGGAAGUAACAACAGCAGCAAGUAAGUUGCUUUAAAAAAAUUCACAGCGCCCUCAGAAAUCCAAUAUGAUCAAAAGCAGUUAUCAGGACAGGCAGUGGUCUACAUGGAAUUUUGAGGAGGGUCUGAUAAUCACACCUUCCUGUGCCCAUGUAGAUGCUUAGCCUAAAAGGUUACUGGAAGUCUGCAGAGUAAAUGUCUCUGGAAUUCUAUCAGCCAUGAGAUGGGAAAGGCGCAGAGAGUCUUUCCAAAAUGCCACCUCCCAUGACUUACCUAAUAAGAGCUCUAGAGAAAGUUGAUACCACCAGAUUUCUGAGUGUGCUGUGAAUCUUUUUAAAGCAACUUAUUUGCUGUUGUUGUGACUUCCCUCCUUUGUGUAUCUGGUUUGAAUAUUUUUCACAUGCUUUGAGCUCAGACGAAUUUUUAACUCUAUUCAAUGAUUAAAAUGUAUGGAACACUACAAGUUGCCCAGCACUGUGAGGGGCUGGUAAAGCCAUUUCUACCUCAACUGGUCAGACAAUGGUUGCACAUGCUAAAUUUUAGAAUAUAUUUUUCUUUUUUUUUAAGAUGGAGUCUUGCUCUUGUCACCCAGGCUGGAGUGCAAUGGCAAGAUUUCGGCUCACUGCAACCUCCCCCUCCUGGGUUCAAGCGAUUCUCCUGCCUCAGCCUCCCAAGUAGCUGGGAUUACAGGCGCCCACCACCAUGCCCAGCUAAUUUUUGUAUUGUUAGUAGAAACAGGGUUUCACCAUGUUGGCCAGGCUGGUCUCGAACUCCUGACCUCAGGUUAUCCACCCGCCUCGCCUCCCAAAGUGUUGGGAUUACAGGCGUGAGCCACCAUGCCUGGCCUAGAAUAUUCUUUCAAAAAGGAAUUUUUGAUCUUCUGUUAAAGAGCUUUCAAAUAUGCUAUACACCAGACAUUCCAAAUUUUAUUAAUUUACAGUUAUAUAGGUUGUGCAAUCAUAUUUUGCAUUAACCUUUUUAAUACAGCAAAAUUUCCACAGUAUCUCUCUAUAUAAAUAUAUAUAAGCGCAUAUAUAUAUGAUUUUGUUAAACAGAAAACAUUGAAAAAAAGGGUAGGUAUGAUAGCUCAUGCCUGUAAUCCCUGCAGUUUGGGAAGCCAAGGCAGGAGGAUCACUUGAGGCCAGGAACUCAAGACCAGCCUUGGUGAGUCCAUGUCUCUUUAAAAAAAACACCAACAAGGCCAGGCACGUGGCUUAUGCCUCUAAUCCCAGCACUUUGGGAGGCCGAGGCGGGAGGAUCACCUGGGGUCAGGAGUUCGAGACCAGCCUGGCCAACAUGGUGAAACCCUGUCUCUACUAAUAGUACAAAAAUUAGCUGGGCAUGGUGGCAUGCACCUGUAAUCCCAGCUACUUGGGAGGCUGAGGUAGGAGAAUCGCUUGAACCCCAGGAGACAGAGGUUGCAGUGAGCUGAGAUCAUGCCACUGCACUCCAGUCUGGGCCGAUAGAGUGAGACCCUGUCUCAAAAAAAAAAAAAAAAAAAGAAUUGAGUGUAGUUAUCACAAUCCAGAUAGAGAAAGUUAUACAGCAUUAGAGGAUCUCAGAGUUCUUGAAGUAUUAACAUUUGCUCUUUCAAAUAGAGAUUUUUUAUUGUUUUUACUAAAAAAAACCUUAAUAGACAAAUCUUAUUAAGUAUUCAUGUUCAACAGCUGUAUUUAUAGCUCAUUAUAAGCCUGCUCAUUAAAAUUUUUCUUUAAGGACUGAAUUUAUGUUUACCAUUUACACGGGGCAUGGUUAUUCUCCUGUUAUUUGUUUCUCUAAACUGAACUUGGAGCGAACCCAUCCAUUUUCCACCUCAAGGUGGAACAGGAAGAUAAGGCAGAUCUGAGGGCUCCUCAGUGUGAAGUUGGAAAACUCUUCUCUCUAAAAUACACUAAAAGCCGAAGGCUGUUUCUUCAGUCUGAGGAAAGUCAGGUAAUCCACAUUUUCAUUAUAAUGGGGUAGGGCUUUUUGCUUACAUUUGGAAAGAGUUGCUUUGGAAAGUGUCUGUAAUUAUCAACUAAUAGCAGCAUAUUUUUGUUCCCUGUAAACUUUCUAUUAAAGAAAAUUAAGAACAUGAAGUUACAUGAAAAAACCCUCAAUUUGUACCAAAAACUUCUAUAGUAAUUUUCUUUUUUUUUUGAGACAGAGUCUGUGUUGCCCAGGCCAGAGCGCAAUGACGUGAUCUCAGCUCACUGCAACCUCUGCCUCCCUAGUUCAAGUGAUUCUCGUGCCUCAGCCACCUGAGUAGCUGGGAUUACAGGCAUGCACCACCAUCCAUUUUUAGUGGAGACAGGGUUUCACCAUGUUGGCCAGGCUGGUCUCAAACUCCUGGCCUCAAGUGAUCCACUCACCUUGGCCUCCCAAAGUGCUAGGAUUACAGGUGUGAACCACCAUGCCCGGCUAUAUUAAUUUUUUGAUUCAAUAAUAAAAGUUAAAAGAAUGUCUUCUGUUACUUACUGCAAAUUUUUUCAAAAGGUAAUUUAGCAACUGAUCUAAUUUAGCUUUCGCUCAAGACAACAAAAAUCCUAGACACCAAAUUCACUGUUUCAAAGGUAAUCCAAAGAUGUAGAAAAUGGUCUAUCAUGGGCCGCUGAGACAUAGUUAUAUCAUUGUGACCCUGCACCAUUUUCUCCAUGGUUCACAAGGCAAGAAAAAGUAUUAUAGCUAAAUGUAGUUUGGAAACAUCUUGAUGUUCUAAAAUAAACACAUUAAUUCACACUAUAAAUUACCUUGUACUUUACAAACUUUAUUAAAUAAUGGACGUUACUAACUUUCAUUAUCUUAUAUACAGUAUUUAAACUAUGUUUUUCUAGAUGCAUUUUUUCCCCACAAAGAAUAGAGCAGGUGAAAAGUAAACUUAUAUAAAAAAAAUUGAACCUUCAGUACAGGAAACUAGUAAGAACUUGACAUACUUUAAAGUACAUAUAACUUUUCCUCGUUAUAUACAUCCCCACCCCACCUCUAAAACAAACUGUUUUAAACAAAAGCAAUUGAUAACUUUCAGGAAAAAAAUACAAACAUGAUUAUAUAUAUAUACACACAGCUCUCAAAAUCUGUGUCCUGGCCAACAGAAAUGGUCUAUAAAUCUACACAUUUGUCCUAAAACCUAAAGCCAUGUAGACCUUUUAUACAGUAAGAUACCCACUUACGUGCAGUGAGGUGUAUUCCUAUAGGUGACAUCAAAGUCAUGCAACAAGACACUGGCGUGAAGAAGUAAUUUCUGAGAGUCAGACAGAACAAUAAUAUGAACUACAUAGAACUGGAUAAUACCAAUCAAAAAGCGAAAAUGCGAAACAGCUUUCCUGGGACAAGAGUCAGGUAAUUUUGUUCAUAGGUAAUACAAAUGCACUUACACACACCUCUAAAAACAUACUUUCUUGGCCGGGCGCAGUGGCUCAUGCCUGUAAUCCCAGCACUCUGGGAGGCCGAGGCAGACGGAUCAUGAGAUCAGGAGUUCGAGACCAGCCUGGCCAACAUGAUGAAACCCCGCCUCUACUAACAACACAAAAAUUAGCCAGGUGUGGUGGCGGGCGCCUGUAAUCCCAGCUAUUCAAGAGGCUGAGGCAGGAGAAUCGCUGGAACCGGGGAGGUGGAGGCUGCAGUGAGCCAAGAUUGCACUCCAACUUGGGCAACAGGGAGAGACUCAGUCUCAAGAAAAAAACAAACAAACAAAAAAACCAACCAAACAAAAAAACUUUCUUGUGGUACUUAUCUUUUUUGAUCAUUUCAUCUUGGAAACUCAUAUCAUGUUCAAAUAAACACAAUAAAGAAGGAAUGUUCCCAGACCAUGCUAUUCAAUGUGGACUUUCUUUUAUAAGCUAUGAGAAGAAUACUUUGGAGAAGCAAGAAACUUGGGUUAUUUUUUGUUAUUUAAAAAUAAAAUCACAUGCCUUAGGUACCUAUUUGUAAGAUAAAAACGCUCAUAUUCUAUGUUUUACAGUUAAGAAAAAGAGGCAUAGGACUUAACAAAGAGAAAAAGAAUUAUGUCACUUACUCAAUAUUACUGCUUACCUUUAAAUGAAGAGCCCAGGCCCCUUUCCCUACAUAUAUUAUUGUAUCUUUUAAAAUAGAAACUAACAGCAUGGGGGAGAGGCCAUAGAAUGUACACCUGAUUAAAAUGAGAAUACAAAGGCCACCGCUUGAGAAAGCAUUCUUGCUGCAUUAAUUGCAGUCUUCAAUAAAAUAGAAUAUGUUAUAAAGUUGCAAUAUAUCUGCCUUCAUUUUUCUCUUUAGCUUCUUUGAUUUUGCUUUUUAUUCAAUGUCUUAUUUUUGUUUGUUGCCUUUCAUAAGGAGUUAGAUCAGUAUACAGUAUCACAAUGAAAUGUGACAAAUGGUCAGAAUAUAAAAGGUGUUAUUUAUUAGUCAGCACCUAGUAACCAAAGAUUUCAUUCUUUAAUAUACCUGAAAACAACGAAAAAAAGGCUCCCAUGUUAUGUGUAGUUUAGGAAAUAGAUUCUUGCCCUAUUCCUGCAGCCAAUGACUCCUCAGGGCCAGGAUCAAGUUGGUCAUUUGGCAGAAUCCCAAACUCAGGAGGGUGCAUGUGCAAAGCGCUCUGGAAAGGAUAAAUUUAAAGUGCUUUGUCUGAUUUUAGCUCAUGCUUAACUUUGUAUCGAUUAGAAACAGGCACACAAAAUGGUCUGGUGGGAUUUCAGUUUUGCUUUUUCUCUUUCAACAGUCAUUUGAAGAGUUAAGUGGUUCCCAGAAGUCAUCCCAUCUUUUCUAAUAGUUAAGUCAAUCUGCAUUUUAUUGACCUUGGUUUUCUCUAAGCCAGUAAGGAAAUCAUUCAUUUCACCCCAGAAAUUAUAUUAGAAACAUGAUGAGCAGCUCGUUCUCUAGGCCUUGUCCAGGAAUACAGGUAAAGGGUUCUGCGUACAGAAAAUGGGUCCCGCUACAUUUUAAUUUUCAACAGUCACACAAUUUCUGCAUCAAAAUGACAUAAAAGAAUACUAGCACAAAAACCCUAAAAUGGGCACCUCAGACUGCAGUCCAAUUUACAGAUCUCUGGCUUACGUUAUCCUAAGGUGUUACCACAAAUAUAACCAAAAUGUGAGAUAUAAGCAUAAUUCUUUCAACAGCUUUCGUUGCCUUUUAAAAUGUGAAAAAGUCUCCUUGCUGCCUUUGAGUCACAGGAUAAAACUACCUGGGCCUUCUGGAUAACAGGAAAGGAUUAUUGCAUUUCUUAAGGUGUGGGCACUAUUGUCAGGUUAUGGCCAUCGUGUUAAAAGUCUAAAAACUUUCAAGUAAGAUUGACUUACAUGAAACAUGAAGACACUCAGCAUGAGAAAAUAUACUGUUGAUGCCAACAUGUGCUACAGUACAAUCCGGGCUGCAUCGUCAGCCAUUUCCAAAAGUUGUGCUGUAAAAGAAAGUAUAUUUUACACCUCUGGUUCUUACAAAAUUGUUUUAAUCUGGUAUACAUAAAACACCUCAUCAGUAUCUGUAACGUUUUAUGAGCAAAAUAAGAAGUUGAUUCAAGCAGUUAUUAUGAAGAACCUUAAGCAAAGCUGCUUGAACUGAGACACUGAAAUUUUUCCCUUAGAGACUGGACAAUAUUUUGUUGAUUGGGAGAUGGCCCCCUCCAAAGAUAGUCAUUCAGUUUGUCAGAAUCAUUAUAUGGUGUCAGAUAUGGUGAAAGGCCAAGUUUGCUGUUAACCGGCUUUUUUGGAGUGCGCGGACUAUUCAAAGAAUGCAAUGUGUUGCCGCUGCAGACAUUAUCAGAAAAGUCAGCAUCCACAAACUUUGAGUCAGAUUUCCUUCUACGAUUGUGAGAUAGCUCCAACUCCGACUCAUCUUCUUCUGACUUGAUUUCCACAUAGUCAUCUUCAUCUCCAUCAGUCUCUUUGAAAUUGGAAAAAUAAUUCUGUGUUGCAAUUUGGGCAUUUAAGGGUAAAUUUCUAUUGACCACCACAACUUUCUGUGAGUCUUGGAGUGUGAGAUCUGAGAGUUUUUCAGUGCCCUGUUGAUGCGAGUCAGCAAUAUCUGGCAGCAAGUCCUGGUGACUCUCACACCUUGAACUUCUGUGUAAAGACAGCAGCUGCUGCUUUCCCACAUCACUAGGGUAGUUGAUGGAAUCCAUUGAUUUGUUGAUCAAGACGGAGGAAGAUGACUGGGACCUGUGAUAAGGCUGAGAUUUAGCGCUGAUCCCUUUCCGACCCAAGGAGUUGUAAAGAUGGUCCUGACACCAGUUCUCUUUGUUGGGCUGACUUACUACCACGCUGCAUCUCUGCACAGAGCCUGGCAGAGGGUCAGAGGUUUGAAGAGAAGGCACAGAGCAAGCUGCGGACAAUUGCCUGGGAGUACUUUUUGUAUUGAUCUCAAACGUGGGAUAUCUUGACCUCAAGUCUUGCUCUGGUGGGAGACAGAAAUCUGCUAACUCUCCAUUACUAUAGGUUGAAUGCAGAAGCCAGUCUCCACUACCAUGGUGGACCUGGGAAGGUGACACAGACCUCAGGAGGGAGGAUUCUUGAGGGCUGGCCCAGCCAUCCUUCUGAAUUUUCAAGGGAGACUCUCUGAAUACAAUCUGGUCAUACAACUGGGAAUACUCAGCAAUCCUGGCACCUGGAAGGCAAAUAUUGAAACAGUAAAUACACACAGGAUAAUUCCUAUACGUGAAGAUUAAAAAUAAGAGAAUAACAUUCUAACCAACGUAUUUUAAAAUUUUGACAGUAGACAAGACUAACUGAUGUCUAAGGAUGAGUAAUCUUUGAACUCUGAGCAACACACACACACAAAUCCAUGGUUUAAUAUAAAUAAAAAUGC